RNAcentral lists this small nuclear RNA (103 nucleotides) under Vulpes vulpes (red fox). The record is from RNAcentral. RNAcentral also lists the same sequence under 1 other name. Lineage: Eukaryota; Metazoa; Chordata; Mammalia; Carnivora; Canidae.
GUGCUCUCUCUGGCAGUACAAGUUCUAAAAGCAGAACAGAAAAUGUUAGCUUGGCCCCCGUACAAAGAUGGAAGCUUCUAUUGAUGAAACUGUCCAUAUUUUA